AUUUAUAUAAUAUAAAAAGUAUAUUUGACUUCCAAUCAAAAAGUUUAAAUUUUAAUAUAAAUA
Molecule: transfer RNA, 63 nt
Filed under: Semidalis aleyrodiformis
Lineage: Eukaryota; Metazoa; Arthropoda; Insecta; Neuroptera; Coniopterygidae
Description: tRNA-Gly
Source: RNAcentral